UGGCAGUAUGGGCACCAUUUAAUAAGUUUUUAUGUAUAUUUUUGUGUAUGUUGAUGUUUCUAAUAAUGCUCCACACGCUCAUGUAAUAUGUGUGCACGAACUACUUGGUUAAAUUUGUCCUGGAACCUGGAUCAAAUAUUUGGUUGGAUCCCCUUCUAAACUUUGUAAACACUUGCUUGGUUCAGGACCUCACUGAACCUUGAAUCGGUUGUUAAUAGUGGAGAAAUUGAGUCAAAAAAAUCGCGGCCAGGAAAUGGUUUCUUAGGGAAGUCAGAAAAUGAAAUAUGAGCAGUCAGUGCCUCAGUGUGGCAGGAACGUUCUGGUCAUGGGCGACAGGCGACAGCCGACAGCACACAAGGGCUCUUGACAUAAACCCUCACGAGCUCUGGCUUGUCAACAACAGCUUGUCCGGCGCCUAUGGGCUCCACGGUCCCACUCCAUUUUUGUCUAGUCUGUUGCUUCCUUAAUUGAACCAACCACUAUUCCCUCCAUCUGAAAUACCCCCUCC
Molecule: long non-coding RNA, 508 nt
Filed under: Setaria viridis
Lineage: Eukaryota; Viridiplantae; Streptophyta; Magnoliopsida; Poales; Poaceae
Description: long non-coding RNA (SVIR_LNC005235)
Source: RNAcentral